RNAcentral lists this non-coding RNA (191 nucleotides) under Mesocricetus auratus (golden hamster). RNAcentral's name for it is "Eukaryotic large subunit ribosomal RNA". It matches the Rfam family "Eukaryotic large subunit ribosomal RNA", at positions 989 to 1170 of the family's 3401-position model. The record is from Rfam by way of RNAcentral. Lineage: Eukaryota; Metazoa; Chordata; Mammalia; Rodentia; Cricetidae.
UCAUCAGACCCCAGCCCAGUUUUAUCCAGUAAAGCGAAUGAUUAGAGGUCUUGGGGCCGAAACGAUCUCAACCUAUUCUCAAACUUUAAAUGGGUAAGAAGCCCGGCUCACUGGCAUGGAGCCGGGCGUGGAAUGUGAGUGCCUAGUGGGCUACUUUUGGUAAGCAGAACAGAUCCCUGUGAAUUCAAUCC